Molecule: non-coding RNA, 28 nt
Filed under: Bombyx mori (domestic silkworm)
Lineage: Eukaryota; Metazoa; Arthropoda; Insecta; Lepidoptera; Bombycidae
Source: RNAcentral
UCCAGACUCAAUUCUGACGGUGGUCGGG